This 537-nucleotide long non-coding RNA is filed under the name Gallus gallus (chicken). Lineage: Eukaryota; Metazoa; Chordata; Aves; Galliformes; Phasianidae. The record is from RNAcentral.
GGGCAGGAUACUCAGAGGGCCACCCUGGACUUGUGAUCGUCCCACUCGGUGAUCGAAUUUGUUCUGGAAUAUCUCCACAAGCCGUUGACACUCCUGAAAUAUGCACAUUUUCAGAAUGUUCUGCAAGAGCACCAUUUCCGCAGCAGGAGACGACGAGGAGCAGGAGCUGCGCGGACCUCCAAGCCGGGAAGCCUUCUGCGCUCCCCCACGGGGCCAUGCCACCAGCCCGCGGCAGGCGACGAGAGCACGACCCGCCGCCACCGCCGCCGCCGCCCCCCACACGCAGCCGGAGCCGCCGGAGCCGCCGCCGCCGCGAGAGGGGCCGGGCAGAGCCCCGUCCCGCGUCCGCCGGAGCUGCCGCCUGGGGAGCGCUAGCGGCCCGCGCCCGCGCGCCUCUGCCGCCCGCCUGCCCGCGGAGCCAUGAGCCGCCGCCGGCCUCGGCCUCCUUCCCCCGCGCCGCGCCGCGCCGCUUCCUCCUCCCCGGCUGCGCUCCGCCGCGGCUGCGCACUGGCGGCCCGAGCGCAUGCAGUCGCUCCC